RNAcentral lists this ribosomal RNA (1500 nucleotides) under human gut metagenome. Its description in RNAcentral is "bacterial SSU rRNA". It matches the Rfam family "Bacterial small subunit ribosomal RNA". The record is from RNAcentral.
GUUUGAUCCUGGCUCAGAUUGAACGCUGGCGGCAGGCCUAACACAUGCAAGUCGAACGGUAACAGGAAACAGCUUGCUGUUUCGCUGACGAGUGGCGGACGGGUGAGUAAUGUCUGGGAAACUGCCUGAUGGAGGGGGAUAACUACUGGAAACGGUAGCUAAUACCGCAUAACGUCGCAAGACCAAAGAGGGGGACCUUCGGGCCUCUUGCCAUCGGAUGUGCCCAGAUGGGAUUAGCUAGUAGGUGGGGUAACGGCUCACCUAGGCGACGAUCCCUAGCUGGUCUGAGAGGAUGACCAGCCACACUGGAACUGAGACACGGUCCAGACUCCUACGGGAGGCUGCAGUGGGGAAUAUUGCACAAUGGGGGAAACCCUGAUGCAGCAACGCCGCGUGAGUGAUGACGGCCUUCGGGUUGUAAAGUACUUUCAGCGGGGAGGAAGGGAGUAAAGUUAAUACCUUUGCUCAUUGACGUUACCCGCAGAAGAAGCACCGGCUAACUACGUGCCAGCAGCCGCGGUAAUACGUAGGUGGCAAGCGUUAUCCGGAUUUAUUGGGCGUAAAGCGAGCGCAGGCGGUUUUUUAAGUCUGAUGUGAAAGCCCUCGGCUUAACCGAGGAAGUGCAUCGGAAACUGGGAAACUUGAGUGCAGAAGAGGACAGUGGAACUCCAUGUGUAGCGGUGAAAUGCGUAGAUAUAUGGAGGAACACCAGUGGCGAAGGCGGCUCUCUGGUCUGUAACUGACGCUGAGGCUCGAAAGCGUGGGGAGCAAACAGGAUUAGAUACCCUGGUAGUCCACGCCGUAAACGAUGAGUGCUAAGUGUUGGAGGGUUUCCGCCCUUCAGUGCUGCAGCAAACGCAUUAAGCACUCCGCCUGGGGAGUACGACCGCAAGGUUGAAACUCAAAGGAAUUGACGGGGGCCCGCACAAGCGGUGGAGUAUGUGGUUUAAUUCGACGCAACGCGAAGAACCUUACCAGGUCUUGACAUCCUUUGACCACUCUAGAGAUAGAGCUUCCCCUUCGGGGGCAAAGUGACAGGUGGUGCAUGGUUGUCGUCAGCUCGUGUUGGGAGAUGUUGGGUUAAGUCCCGCAACGAGCGCAACCCUUAUUGUUAGUUGCCAUCAUUUAGUUGGGCACUCUAGCGAGACUGCCGGUGACAAACCGGAGGAAGGUGGGGAUGACGUCAAAUCAUCAUGCCCCUUGUGACCUGGGCUACACACGUGCUACAAUGGGAAGUACAACGAGUCGCUAGACCGCGAGGUCAUGCAAAUCUCUUAAAGCUUCUCUCAGUUCGGAUUGCAGGCUGCAACUCGCCUGCAUGAAGCCGGAAUCGCUAGUAAUCGUGGAUCAGAAUGCCACGGUGAAUACGUUCCCGGGCCUUGUACACACCGCCCGUCACACCAUGGGAGUGGGUUGCAAAAGAAGUAGGUAGCUUAACCUUCGGGAGGGCGCUUACCACUUUGUGAUUCAUGACUGGGGUGAAGUCGUAACAAGGUAACC